Non-coding RNA from Anabaena sp. CRKS33, 56 nucleotides. The record is from Rfam. NCBI's taxonomy places the organism in Bacteria, Bacillati, Cyanobacteriota, Cyanophyceae, Nostocales, Nostocaceae.
GGGAUGUUGUUAUGCACUGGAUUUAAGUCAAGGUUUGGUUUUCAACCAGACCUUUU